CCCGGGGCAAGGAGGGGAGGCCAGGCAGCCGGAAGGAAACUCCUGAGCUUUUUACGGAAUGCAUAAGACAAAAGAGUGCUGCUUGCUCUGCAGCUGGUCCAAGAAGCUUCACCUCCCAGGAGCACCAGACAGAUGAUCUCCUGUUUACAGUGGUUCCAGGAGCACCAACCCCAAAGAUGAGUUAUAAGCAGGUCUCUAAAGAGAUUUUAGGAGAAGCUGCUAAAAUGGUGGCAAAGCUCUUUAGAAACAUAGAAGUAUGAACCUUUUUAUGGGGAGAACUUCUAAGAGUUUGGAGAGGUCUUCCAGGUCCACACAACCUCCCUGGAAAUGGCAAGGAGUUAUAAUUUCCAUUUUACAGAUGAAGAAAUGAAAAAGAGGAGAAGGGGAUGCCAUUUGCUCAAGGCUGCUGGAAUGCUAGGCUGGCUCUGGGACUAUCACGAAAAGUUUCUAACCCCCCGCCGCGGCUCUUCUCACAACACAAGAAUGAGCUCAGAGAGGUUAAUGAACCUGCCAAAGACCCCAGCUGAGAGACUGAGUUGGUUUGCAGAUUCCAAAGCCCACAUUCAUUCCAUUUUAUCUCAUCUUCAGUGGACUUUGAACAUGCCUCAGCCUUCACCUUGACCCUUGGUGAAGGUGCUGAGAACCAAGACCCAGUGCAGCGGUGUCUCUGGAACCUCCUGGAGCUCAGCAGCCGACUCCCAAACCUGGAGGUCCUCACUCGGCACCCUGUGCUCUGCCCUCUGGCUGAUCCUCAGCAUUCCCAGGCAGCCUGGCUCCCUGUAAAGUUGUUUAAACUUCUGUUUAUCAUCAUCUUCCAUCAUUUCUAAUUGUUUUCCUGUGUCCCUUUCUUUUGUAGAGGAUAUAAACUCAGCAUUUUAGCUUUUGAAAUAGAUUUGCUGUGCAGUUUCAUGGCUCUUUAGUGGCUUAAAAUGUAUUGUUCUGUGAGUCUUUCUGUGCCCGUCACAGCAUUCACUAUGGGAAGCAGCAGGACGCCAGCGAUGCUGAUGUUUAUUUGAUUUUAGGGGGCUUUAAGGCAUUCCUGGGACCAUACGGAUUCUAAAUAUUCUGCCUCAUUGUCUUCAGAAGCUACUAAAAUAUCCUAGAAAUGAUCAUGUUUCAGCAUGUAAGCUACAUAUUUCACAUUACCUCUUGUAUCCAUACAUACAUAGCCUCUAUCAAGAGCCUGGCAUAAGCCAAUGUAAUGGUUCUGAAAUGGUAACCACAUGGUUCUUCAAUCACUAAAACCCUUUCCACUCUGAGAUUGGACAUUCAUUGCUAUUUUCUGCCAGGGCUCUGAUGUACAAGACUGUCUAUGAGUUCUGUGUUUAAUAUACAGAACUGGCUGCCCUCAAUACAUGAGACUUCCUGGUAUUUUUUUCAUGUGAUUAGAUGGAUUACAUUUGUUACAUAUUUAUUGUUUAGAUAUACAAGUAAUCCUCACUUUGCACAGUGUCAUGUCUGCAUAUUGAAACCAUAUACUCACUUUGUGCAAUCCUUUGGUAAGUGCAAAGUGAGAACACAGGUCUGAUAGGUACAAGUUUCAGUGAACAUGCUACUAUGCAUCAUGAAGACUAUCUGAAGUUGCUUUCAAAUAAAAUUUGGAUAAGGACUGUAA
RNAcentral lists this long non-coding RNA (1615 nucleotides) under Pan troglodytes (chimpanzee). RNAcentral describes it as "lincRNA". The record is from RNAcentral. Lineage: Eukaryota; Metazoa; Chordata; Mammalia; Primates; Hominidae.